GUCGUGUCCUCACUGUUGUGUGUCGUGCUCCUUCCCUUUUCUCCAUCUACCGCCAUCAAGGACCAGGGGCCAUGCCGGGCUAUCCUGAGGCCAGGUGGAAAUCGAGGCCAGGAGGAUGGGCCCACAGCGUGGAAGGGCUGACCGAGCUCUUCUGGAAGAUGUCCUGCCUCGAAAAUACAUCUUGAGAAGAAUAAGGAAGAAAAGGCCCAUCGUUUUUGGCCUAGGGAACUCAAGGUGCGAGCGCUAAAGAGACCUGAGAUGACACAUAGCUGUUACCAGGCUGUUUCAUGGAACUUCGGAAGAGAUGGAACAUCUGAGUUUAAUAAACCAUGGAUACUGGAGGCAGCUAGAGAAAAGCACACCUGCUAUCCGAGCUCUUGGAGGUGGAGGCAAGAAGAUUGUGAUUCAAGGCCUACCUGGCUGGCCUACAAGAGGCCCAGUCUCCAGAAACAAUAAA
Long non-coding RNA from Chionomys nivalis (European snow vole), 457 nucleotides. RefSeq lists it as uncharacterized. The transcript is spliced from 5 exons. The record is from RefSeq and is a predicted model, not a curated record. NCBI's taxonomy places the organism in Eukaryota, Metazoa, Chordata, Mammalia, Rodentia, Cricetidae.